This 421-nucleotide ribosomal RNA is filed under the name uncultured Zoogloea sp. RNAcentral describes it as "bacterial SSU rRNA". It matches the Rfam family "Bacterial small subunit ribosomal RNA", at positions 356 to 774 of the family's 1533-position model. The record is from RNAcentral. Lineage: Bacteria; Pseudomonadati; Pseudomonadota; Betaproteobacteria; Rhodocyclales; Zoogloeaceae.
GGGGAAUUUUGGACAAUGGGGGCAACCCUGAUCCAGCCAUCCCGCGUGAAGGACGACUGCCCUAUGGGUUGUAAACUUCUUUUGUAUAGGGAUAAACCUACCCUCGUGAGGGUAGCUGAAGGUACUAUACGAAUAAGCACCGGCUAACUCCGUGCCAGCAGCCGCGGUAAUACGUAGGGUGCGAGCGUUAAUCGGAAUUACUGGGCGUAAAGCGUGCGCAGGCGGUGAUGUAAGACAGAUGUGAAAUCCCCGGGCUCAACCUGGGAACUGCGUUUGUGACUGCAUCACUCGAGUACGGCAGAGGGAGGUGGAAUUCCGCGUGUAGCAGUGAAAUGCGUAGAUAUGCGGAGGAACACCGAUGGCGAAGGCAGCCUCCUGGGCCAGUACUGACGCUCAUGCACGAAAGCGUGGGGAGCAAACA